RNAcentral lists this long non-coding RNA (1883 nucleotides) under Equus caballus (horse). Its description in RNAcentral is "lncRNA (ENSECAG00000043871.1)". The record is from RNAcentral. Lineage: Eukaryota; Metazoa; Chordata; Mammalia; Perissodactyla; Equidae.
AUGGCAGCAGCUGGGCCAUCUGCUGGCUCAGGCCCCCUGCAGCCCGUCAUGCCAACUGUAGAUCCAUUUGAAGACAUUAGUAUAAGGACUCAGAGGUUGGUUGAUUUGUUUGCAGUGGAUCCUGGCUGUGAUAAGGAAGUGUUAGCCCUCUCAGGCAGAUUUCUUGGAGACAAUAAAACUCCUGGGGAAACUACAGAAGAGACAUUGACUAGUAUUCUGGAUGUUACUGCCCUGGAUUGCAUUUACAGUGCUGAUAAAGGAGACCCACUGGAGAGUGAGAGACUAACCCAAAGAAAUUGGAUAAAUUCUUGUGGUCAGCCCCACCACCAUGGAAAACAUCUCUAACCCUUAUGUUGAAAUGAGGCAAGAGGUUAGGAGAUGUUAGCGUGGAAGUAGGGCCACAGGUGCCCCAUAUUAAAGUGGACUCCUUUAGGGGGCCAGCCCUGUGGCGUAGUGGUUAAGUUUGCUCACUCCACUUUAGCAGCCCAGGAUUCACAGAUUUGGAUCCUGGGUGCAGACCUAUACACCACUCAUCAGGCCAUGGUGUGGUGGCAUCCCACAUACAAACUAGAAGAAGACUGGCACAGAUGUUAGCCCAGGGACAAUUUUCCUCAAGCAAAAUUUUGGAGGAUUGGCCACAGAUGUUAGCUCAGGGCCCAUCUUCCUCACCCAAAACAAAAACAAGUGGACUGCUUUAAAAAGUUGCUGCUGCUGGAGACAAGCAUGAGUCAGCCAGAGGGUGCAAACCUAGUGGUCACAGAGGCUGGAAAGCAAUGUGGACUGUGCUGCUGAGUCAAUGGGUUCCGUGGUACAAGCAAAAGGAUCUCAUCACCCAAGACAGAAUACUGGGUGGGAUGAAAACAUUCAAAGCUCAUGGCUGAACCAAAGGUGCUGCCACACCGCUCAAAAGUGAAGAAAUACCAUCUCUUGCAGGAUUGCUCCUUCGUGGAUUCUCUUCGCCCCUCUAAGGCAGCAGCAUGUUCAUUGGACUUUCAAAGUUUUAGAGAAACACCCUCUUUGCGCAGCCACUUUCCACCUUGAGAAACUUGUGAGUUUCGUGAAACAAAGGAAGCCCCUUGCAUCAGUCCUCCUGGGAGUCUCUAGACAAGUCAAAACAAAGAGUAUUCCUUGGGAACAAGGUCCAUUCUGCUCCCUCUAGAACCAGACACCCCAACAAUUCCAUAGGCUGCGGUUUUCAAGACCACUACUGACUGGGAGGAUGAUGGAGGAAGCCUAAGAUAAAAUGCCAUUAAGCUAUCUUUUUUCUUGUUUAAGCAUUCACUUGGUUGCUUUAAAUCUUUCACUAUUUUCCAGCCUUUAGACAAAAUUAAUUCUGACAGUUUUUAUAGUGUUUCGGGGGGCGGGGGGUAGGUCCUUAGAGUUCCUCAUUCUGCAAUUUUCAUUGACAUAUAUGCAUAAUUUUAAAUGGAAGUAGACACAUGAACAUUUGGGUUAAUGUGACAUGAUUUUCAUAUUAUAGUCUGAAUGUAUUAUGUUUUAUUAAAACUUUGUAAAUAAAACACUUUAUAAAUCCUCAAGACUGUUUAUAUGAUAUAAACAUUUGCAUAUAUUUCAAAAAUAUAAGUAGAUUUUUCAAAAGUAUGAAAAAUUCAUAAGUGACAUGCUUAUGAAUUAUAUAAGGGAAUUCAGGGGCUAAAAUAUACAUAUUUAUAUCCUUUGAGUGUGACUAGCUACCAUGCUCCCCCUUUUCCUACUAUGAGAAAAAUAUUACUAGAUAUAUUAUUGGUCUGACUCAUUAUAGCUUCUUGGUGGAGUAUGAAAAAUAUCUUGUUUUAAUAUUUUAAACUUAAUGUUAAUAACCUUUGUGGACUCUGAGGAACAUUAGGUCUCCAAGGGUCCAUUCAAAUGUUUUGUUCCUAGAU